Molecule: transfer RNA, 69 nt
Filed under: Ptosima chinensis
Lineage: Eukaryota; Metazoa; Arthropoda; Insecta; Coleoptera; Buprestidae
Description: tRNA-Gln
Source: RNAcentral
UACAUAUUAGUAUAUGAUGUACAUAAAUUUUUGGAGUUUAUGGGGAUAGUUUAAUUCUAUUAUAUGUAA